GGGCCUAUAGCUCAGCUGGCUAGAGCGCACGCCUGAUAAGCGUGAGGUCGGUGGUUCAAGUCCACCUAGGCCCA
RNAcentral lists this transfer RNA (74 nucleotides) under Archangium minus. Its description in RNAcentral is "tRNA-Ile". It matches the Rfam family "tRNA". Rfam says of the family: Transfer RNA (tRNA) molecules are approximately 80 nucleotides in length. Their secondary structure includes four short double-helical elements and three loops (D, anti-codon, and T loops). The record is from RNAcentral. Lineage: Bacteria; Pseudomonadati; Myxococcota; Myxococcia; Myxococcales; Archangiaceae. RNAcentral also lists the same sequence under 6 other names.